GGCGACGUAGCCAAGUGGUAAGGCAAAGGUCCGCAAGACUUUUAUCCCCUAGUUCGAAUCUGGGUGUUGCCUCCA
RNAcentral lists this transfer RNA (75 nucleotides) under Sporomusa ovata DSM 2662. RNAcentral describes it as "tRNA-Cys". It matches the Rfam family "tRNA". Rfam says of the family: Transfer RNA (tRNA) molecules are approximately 80 nucleotides in length. Their secondary structure includes four short double-helical elements and three loops (D, anti-codon, and T loops). The record is from RNAcentral. Lineage: Bacteria; Bacillati; Bacillota; Negativicutes; Selenomonadales; Sporomusaceae.